GCACGUGCUAGUUCAUACAUACCAAAUGUGAGACUGCGGACGGCUCAGUAAAUCAGUUAUAAUCUGCUCGAUUGUAAUGGUUAGUGGAUAACCGUGGGAAAUCUAGAGCUAAUACAUGCAAUUUAGGUGCGAGCGAUCGUGCUAUGGCAUUUAUUAGACAAUGACCAACCGUAGGCUUGCCUACGUGGUGAAUCUAGAUAACUGUGCAGAUCGUAUGGCCUUGAGCUGACGACAUUUCGAUUGAAUUUCUGCCCUAUCAACUAUUGUCGGUAGUGUAGUGGACUACCGAGGUUGUUACGGGUGACGGGGGAUCAGGGUUUGAUUCCGGAGAGGGAGCCUGAGAAACGGCUACCACAUCCAAGGAAGGCAGCAGGCGCGCAAAUUACCCAAUCCAGACAAUGGGAGGUGGUGACGACAAGUACCAGAUGACGGUCAAAGACUGUCAGUCGGGAAUGGUGCCAAUUUAACACAUUGGCUGAGAAACUACUGGAGGGCAAGUCUGGUGCCAGCAGCCGCGGUAAUUCCAGCUCCAGUAGCGUAUCUCAAAGUUGCUGCGCUUAAAACGCUCGUAGUUGGAUCACAGGCUGUGCGUCGGUGGGGGAAUGAGGGUGCACCAAGUUCGGAGCGUAAUUCGUGUGUCAUCACACAAUUUGACAAUCUGGAUGGUGCGUCGUUGUGACCGUGUGCCGGCGUGCAGCAAUUUGCACGUGAGGAUAGGCACUGGCCUGGAGUGAGCCGGUGUUUGUGUCUCACGGAGUGUGCCUUGAGUAAAUCAGAGUGCUUAAAGCAGGCUUGCAGCUUGAAUGUUAUUAGCAUGGAACGAACAAUCGUGUACGGUGUAUGCUGAGUAUGCAUGUUGGACAGUGUUCUUCAUCAUCAGCAUACGACACCGACCGCCAGUUACGGAUGUUGGUUCCGUAUUGGGGUAUCGAUUAAGAGGAGCGGUUGGGGGCAUUGGUAUUUGGCAGCGAGAGGUGAAAUUCUUGGACCUGCCAAGGACUAACAAAUGCGAAGGCAUCUGUCCAGACCGUAUCCAUUAAUCAAGAACGAUAGUGAAAGGUUCGAAGACGAUCAGAUACCGUCCUAGUUUUCACUGUAAACUAUGCCGACCCGGGAUCAGUUUGGAGCCAUUCCAUGCUCGGAGUUGGUCCCCCUGGGAAACCUCAAGUUUUUCGGUUGCGGGGGGAGUAUGGUCGCAAGGCUGAAACUUAAAGGAAUUGACGGAAGGGCACCACCAGGGGUGGAGCCUGCGGCUUAAUUUGACUCAACACGGGAAAACUUACCUGGUCCGAACAUCUAAAGGAUACACAGACCGAUAGAUCUUUGUUGAUGAGGUGAAAAGUGGUGCAUGGCCGUUCUUAGUUCGUGGAGUGAUCUGUCAGGCCAAUUCCGGUAACGAACGAGACUACUGUCUCCAUUUGACGGACCAGAGAAGGUGCCGCUGUCGUCGCUGGCAACGGUGGCUGGCAGUCGGCGCUGUGGGCAGCCUGGGUUUGUCGGCGCUUGUCUUGUUGUUUCAGCAGGGCGAGCUCGGCUGGGCCGGGGUUCCCUCUGGUUGCACAAUGUGUUGCCUUGGCAGUGCAUUGUAUCAUGGAGAGACAGCGGAAUAUAUUACAAAAUCCGAGGAAGUGUAGCUAUAACAGGUCCGUGAUGCCCUUAGAUGUUCAGGGCUGCACGCGCGCUACAAUGAUAUCAACAGCGAGUAUUUGAAUCGAAAGAUUUGAGUAAUCUUGCAAUUGGUAUCGUGAUGGGGAUCGACGUUUGUAAAUACGUCGUGAAAGAGGAAUCCCUAGUACGUGCGAUUCAUGUAGAUCGCGCGGAUUGCGUCCCUGCCCUUUGUACACACCGCCCGUCGCUACUACCGAGUGAAUCGUGUCAUGAUACCUUGGGAGCGGACGUCGCCUGGGGCUUGCCUUGGUGCGAUGCUGCAAUCAGCGUAAAAUG
Molecule: ribosomal RNA, 1944 nt
Filed under: Myxobolus sp. IMVP02
Lineage: Eukaryota; Metazoa; Cnidaria; Myxozoa; Bivalvulida; Myxobolidae
Description: SSU rRNA
Rfam family: Eukaryotic small subunit ribosomal RNA
Source: RNAcentral